GCCCCUGUAGUGCCAUGAAUAGCGCUUUGGGCUUCUAACUCAAAGAUCGUGGGUUUGAAUCCCACUUGGGAUG
Trichonephila inaurata madagascariensis is the source of this 73-nucleotide non-coding RNA. The record is from the annotation of a GenBank genome assembly. Lineage: Eukaryota; Metazoa; Arthropoda; Arachnida; Araneae; Nephilidae.